CCUACGGGUGGCAGCAGUGGGGAAUAUUGGACAAUGGACCAAAAGUCUGAUCCAGCAAUUCUGUGUGCACGAUGACGUUUUUCGGAAUGUAAAGUGCUUUCAGUUGGGAAGAAAAAAAUGACGGUACCAACAGAAGAAGUGACGGCUAAAUACGUGCCAGCAGCCGCGGUAAUACGUAUGUCACGAGCGUUAUCCGGAUUUAUUGGGCGUAAAGCGCGUCUAGGUGGUUAUGUAAGUCUGAUGUGAAAAUGCAGGGCUCAACUCUGUAUUGCGUUGGAAACUGUGUAACUAGAGUACUGGAGAGGUAAGCGGAACUACAAGUGUAGAGGUGAAAUUCGUAGAUAUUUGUAGGAAUGCCGAUGGGGAAGCCAGCUUACUGGACAGAUACUGACGCUGAAGCGCGAAAGCGUGGGUAGCAAACAGGAUUAGAUACCCGUGUAGUC
This 443-nucleotide ribosomal RNA is filed under the name uncultured Fusobacterium sp. Its description in RNAcentral is "bacterial SSU rRNA". It matches the Rfam family "Bacterial small subunit ribosomal RNA", at positions 338 to 795 of the family's 1533-position model. Lineage: Bacteria; Fusobacteriati; Fusobacteriota; Fusobacteriia; Fusobacteriales; Fusobacteriaceae. The record is from RNAcentral.